CCUACGGGGGGCAGCAGUGAGGAAUAUUGGUCAAUGGACGAGAGUCUGAACCAGCCAAGUAGCGUGAAGGAUGACUGCCCUAUGGGUUGUAAACUUCUUUUAUAUGGGAAUAAAAUGUUCCACGUGUGGGAUUUUGUAUGUACCAUAUGAAUAAGGAUCGGCUAACUCCGUGCCAGCAGCCGCGGUAAUACGGAGGAUCCGAGCGUUAUCCGGAUUUAUUGGGUUUAAAGGGAGCGUAGGUGGUUUGUUAAGUCAGUUGUGAAAGUUUGCGGCUCAACCGUAAAAUUGCAGUUGAAACUGGCAGUCUUGAGUACAGUAGAGGUGGGCGGAAUUCGUGGUGUAGCGGUGAAAUGCUUAGAUAUCACGAAGAACUCCGAUUGCGAAGGCAGUUCACUGGACUGCAACUGACACUGAGGCUCGAAAGUGUGGGUAUCAAACAGGAUUAGAUACCCUAGUAGUC
RNAcentral lists this ribosomal RNA (460 nucleotides) under uncultured bacterium. RNAcentral describes it as "partial 16S ribosomal RNA". It matches the Rfam family "Bacterial small subunit ribosomal RNA", at positions 338 to 795 of the family's 1533-position model. The record is from RNAcentral.